AUGUCAGAUGCAAAGCCCUGCACCUCAUUAAGAUCAUAUUGGCAUACUCUCCCAAAAAAAAGAGUAGACCCCAUUGAAGACGAGAGUGAGGUACAACAAGGCCAUUUCUGCCCACCUCCCUUCUCACGGAGCCGUACGUGGACGUUACCGCUCAUACAGCUACUAGCCGGCAAGCAGUCAGCCUCCCUCAAAAAUGGAAGUAUGGAUGAAUCGACAUAAAAUAGAGGUCUCUGCCGAAGUUCAACCGACAUUGACCGCAGAUUGCGAGAACGUGAACUUCAUGCCUUCUAUAGAUUUUUUAGGUCAGUUCGUGCCACUAGAGAGUAUGGAGAUGGCUCCUUCCACCCGGUCCUAG
Molecule: non-coding RNA, 355 nt
Organism: Vicia faba (fava bean)
Lineage: Eukaryota; Viridiplantae; Streptophyta; Magnoliopsida; Fabales; Fabaceae
Source: the annotation of a GenBank genome assembly